This 72-nucleotide transfer RNA is filed under the name Camelus bactrianus (Bactrian camel). It matches the Rfam family "tRNA". Rfam says of the family: Transfer RNA (tRNA) molecules are approximately 80 nucleotides in length. Their secondary structure includes four short double-helical elements and three loops (D, anti-codon, and T loops). Lineage: Eukaryota; Metazoa; Chordata; Mammalia; Artiodactyla; Camelidae. The record is from Rfam by way of RNAcentral. RNAcentral also lists the same sequence under 2 other names.
GUGGGCAUAGCUCAGUGGUAGAGCAAGUGCUUAGCAUGCACGAGGUCCUGGGUUCAAUCCUCAGUACCUCCA